CAGAACGAACGCUGGCGGCAGGCCUAACACAUGCAAGUCGAGCGCCCCGCAAGGGGAGCGGCAGACGGGAGAGUAACACGUGGGAACGUACCCUUCGGUUCGGAACAACCCAGGGAAACUUGGGCUAAUACCGGAUACGUCCGAAAGGAGAAAGAUUUAUCGCCGAGGGAUCGGCCCGCGUCUGAUUAGAUAUUUUUUCCCUAACGGCCCAGCUAAGAGACGAUCAGUAGCUGGUCUGAGAGGAUGAUC
RNAcentral lists this ribosomal RNA (249 nucleotides) under uncultured Alphaproteobacteria bacterium. RNAcentral's name for it is "partial 16S ribosomal RNA". It matches the Rfam family "Bacterial small subunit ribosomal RNA", at positions 25 to 305 of the family's 1533-position model. Lineage: Bacteria; Pseudomonadati; Pseudomonadota; Alphaproteobacteria. The record is from RNAcentral.